Molecule: long non-coding RNA, 3525 nt
Filed under: Homo sapiens (human)
Lineage: Eukaryota; Metazoa; Chordata; Mammalia; Primates; Hominidae
Description: non-protein coding lnc-DERL3-1:1
Source: RNAcentral
UUCCAUUGGCUGUCGGGCUCAGGGGCUCUCUUUUCAGCCUGGGGCGCGCAGCGCCUCGGAUGCGGAUUGGCCGAAGGCGGGGCUGGGAGGCGGGUUAAAGAGCGCGUUGCUGGCUGGGCCACGCGUGCUUGAGAAGGUUCAAUGGCGUGGCAGGGACUAGCGGCCGAGUUCCUGCAGGUGCCGGCGGUGACGCGGGCUUACACCGCAGCCUGUGUCCUCACCACCGCCGCGGUGGUAAGCGGCCGGGCGGACCGGACGUCGCCUUGGUUACAGCCUCUGGCGGGAGGGGUGAGGGUCGCCAUGGUUACGGCGUGGCUCCCGGGCAGCUCUUGACUGGCCCCUGGUUCCACAGCAGCUGGAGCUCCUCAGCCCCUUUCAACUCUACUUCAACCCGCACCUUGUGUUCCGGAAGUUCCAGGUCUGGAGGCUCGUCACCAACUUCCUCUUCUUCGGGCCCCUGGGAUUCAGCUUCUUCUUCAACAUGCUCUUCGUGUUCCGCUACUGCCGCAUGCUGGAAGAGGGCUCCUUCCGCGGCCGCACGGCCGACUUCGUCUUCAUGUUUCUCUUCGGGGGCGUCCUUAUGACCGUAUCCUUCCCGCAGGCUCUGGAACCUCGGGCUAGGGCGCCUCGGCGUCCAGCCUGUGUUGGUCCUGGGGCCAACACAGCCAUGCCAGAGAGGGACACAGUCGCUGUCUCCAGCUUAGUAUGUGUUGAGGGCCCACUCUGUGCUCAGCUGCAGGGGUCAGGGCUAGAUCUUCAGUGCUGUAUGCAAAAUACAAAGCCAUGCACAAAAGAGCCAGGCACCGUUCCUGCCUUGGGCGCUCAUGGGCUUCUCGCUGCUGCUGGGCAACUCCAUCCUCGUGGACCUGCUGGGGAUUGCGGUGGGCCAUAUCUACUACUUCCUGGAGGACGUCUUCCCCAACCAGCCUGGAGGCAAGAGGCUCCUGCAGACCCCUGGCUUCCUGUGAGUGUUGAGAGCCCUCCCUCCCUCUCCCCACCCUCAGAAGGAUCCCCACCGAUGGGGACCUGUGCUGGCCUGUGCUCAACACGGGCCCCUCCCCACAGAAAGCUGCUCCUGGAUGCCCCUGCAGAAGACCCCAAUUACCUGCCCCUCCCUGAGGAACAGCCAGGACCCCAUCUGCCACCCCCGCAGCAGUGACCCCCACCCAGGGCCAGGCCUAAGAGGCUUCUGGCAGCUUCCAUCCUACCCAUGACCCCUACUUGGGGCAGAAAAAACCCAUCCUAAAGGCUGGGCCCAUGCAAGGGCCCACCUGAAUAAACAGAAUGAGCUGCAGUCUCUUGGCCCACAGCACUGGCUUCCCCAUCUCACCUGGCCACAUCCUUCUAUGCCUGCCCCGUCCUCACUCAGUGUGGCCUCUCAGCCCAACUGCAGGUGGUAGGAUAGGGGUGCCCACAGAGGGCAAAGAAACUGCCCAUGGUUGCCUGGCAGAGCUUUGAGCUCACAGGUUGCCAGGCAGAGCUUUUGAGCUCACAGGUGACAGGCUCAGGGUUCUCAUCCUGGCCCCACCAGGGCCUUGGGCAAGUCCUGCCCACCAUAGGCCUCUGCUACCUGCCAGUCAGCGGGGAAGUUCACCAGAUUUCGGCUGCUGGGGCCAGGACAGGCGUCUCCUAGGUUGUGCCAAACCAGCCUACAGAUGUUCCUGCCAGUGGUGCCUUCAGGCUGAUGCCAAUCUAGCCUCUCCUGUCUCUCAUCAGCCACCCUGACAGGUGGGCGUAUGCCUCAUUUUUCAUCUGGUGAUGCCAAAGCCCCAUGGAUUCAGGUGCAGAAGAGGGCCAGGACUAGGUCUUCUGCCCUUUCUAUGACCUCAGAGCCUAAGUUUUCACCUUAGCAGAGUUCUGAGACUGGGUGAGGCAGGGACUUCUGGAAGGUUCUGUUCCUGCCCUUUUUAGCUGAGGACGUGUGUGAGCCUUAUCCGACCCCUGUGGCUCAUUUUUCUCUUCUGACCUGGCAGCUUUCCUUGUUGUUCUAAGCCUGUCCAUGUUGUGGUUUAUUUCUGGAUGCUCAGUGGCACGGGGCCUCCUCCAAAGACAGGUUGUCAUUUUCAUGGUAACAACACUGUUCUCUGUUGAGUCUGCCCUCCGUGUUGUAGCCAGACCUUGUGGAGAUGGCUUUGCGGCGGUGUGAGCUGGCGGUCAGGAGUGAGGGCCCAGCCUUCCCGGCACCUCCCAGCCAGGUGGCCCUGCCCGACCUGUGGGGUGAGGCAGCCAAGGUUCCUUCCAUCCCCCCAGUUGUGGAGACACAGGGCUGCCUCACCCUUUCAUUGCCGAGGUUCCUACCUCAUGGACAGAACAAACACCUCAGCAAUGAAACCUGUUCAUGUCUAAGAGCAGCUGGGCUGGGAAUCUUCCCCUUUGUUCAAGGCCUUCCAGUAAGGCCCAGCUGUCCCCUUGCUGUGCAUGGGGCUCUGGGGAGUUCCACUCUUUGAUGGAGGGCAGAGGCCCUGAGUGCAAACUCCCUGGGAAGAGUCCCAUGCUAACAUGUGCUCAAAGGAGCCCUCCUCUCACAUCUCAGCGACCAAGAACCCCAAUCCCUAAUCAGAGCUCUGCCUCUGCCCCACAUGGGGCCCUACCCCACUUCCAGGGAGCACAGCAGCCUCUGACCCUAGCCCUGCCCUGGCAGCAUGGGACCUGCCAACAGCUGAGGGUGGCAGCAGUCUGUGCUGGGAUCUGUGCCCGGAUCUGUGCCCAUUCUCUUCAGUAAGGCUGGAGCUGCGAGCCAGUUUGCUGCCCUCCCAGAUCCUGUGUCCAUUCUGAAGAAUGGGGACACCUCCCUAUUACAGAUGAGAACAGAGGGGACAUGAACUCCUUGGAGGCAGGGCUGGGAAGGGACCCUGGGCUGUGUCUCCUCCCUGUACCGUGUCAACUCCAAGAGCUGGCACCAGGCCGGGAGGGCUAUUCCCAUAUUCCUCACAGCUGGCUUGUAAGGCAGGAGCUGGCCCAGGCCACAGCACCUGCUGGGGUGGGAAAGGGCCCCAGCUGACCUGGCUAUGGGUGCCACUGGAGCUAGAACAGCCCUCCUGCACCCAGGCUGGCGACAGCCCAGCAGUGCCCACACAGGACUGGGCCCUCCGCAGGGGACUUCAGAGCAGCAAGGCCCCAGCUGGCAGUAGCCUGACCAUCUGGACACAGCAGAGCCAGGGCGGCCCAGGGACGGCAGGAGAGCUCGCGGCACCUUCCUGAGGCCAAGCAAGGGGAGCAGGGUUAGGGCUGUUCCUGAAAGGCAGAGAGCCUCUUGCCCUGAGCCUCACAGCUACUCUUCUCAGCUCUCUGGGUCUGGAAGGAGAACAGGCUGAGGGGAGCUGAGAGGAGCUGAGGUGCUACCCGGAGCCCCAUUCACCCCCACCUGCCCACUUGGGAAUCUGAGGCAGAGGAGGGUGAGGCCUGUGUGCCAACCUUGUUCACAUACCACCUUCGUCCCCCCAGGCCCCGGCCCCACUCCUGGCUCUCAUUAUUUUUAUGUUAAAACUUUGAAGAAAUUGAACAUGACCUGUUGAAGAAAUUGAA